GCGCAGCCCAGAAGCUCGCGCUCAUUCUCGGCCACGCGACCGCGUCCUCGCGCUCAGUCCGUCGGCGCGCCGCAGCCAUGAUCAACCAGAAGCCGACUUUUCUUCAGCAAAACACGAGAAGAAAAACAGCAUUGCAGUAUCAGGAGAAUGCUGCAAGACUUCGAGGCCUCAAGAAAGUGGCUGAACAUGAUGCUGCGUUUCAGCACCACAGCAAGUGGACAGCGCCAAAGACCAUUCACACACACGUUUGUUCAUUUUUACUCAACUGCUGUUGAACACAUUUACAGUUUUUGCUGACUUUUCAAAUGUACAUUAUUUCCCACACAGUAUAAUCACCCUUAUGUUCUCAGUCAUUUUGUUACAUAAUAGAAAGUCUAGAGUCUGAACAAUGCCAGAAAGAUUUUAUAAGGAUUAACGAUACAAGCCUGUUUUAAAAUAGAAAAUAGUGCACAGUGAGUUAGAGAGCUCGGCUAUGUGCCAGGCACAUUACUGGCACCUUGCACUAACAGCACACACUCACUGCAUUAAUCCUGUCCAGGAGCCCUUCAUAUGUUUGCAUUGCAUCAAUAACAAAUCCCCAACACUGGGCAUGAGAGAGUCUCAUAUCCAAUGCUGUGUGUGUGUGUGUGUGUGUUUGCGGUUAUUGAAAUUUGCCAUUGACAGACCUCUAACUUGGCAGACUUGGCAACCAUUACUGUGUCGCUGUAGAAUUGACUUAAAUAUAAUUUAUUCCAAAACAAGUGCCUGAUCAUUUUAUGUGAAAUAAUAUAAUGUGCUUCCCCAAACAUAACUAGACUUUUAUUCAUGAUGAUUGAUUGUUGCUGGAAUGCUUUUUGCAUGCAAGCCUUAUUGAGGCAUUGGUAUUAAUAGAUUUUGGUAUUUUCAGAUGAGCUUUUUUUUUUUUUGCUGAGUACGGUGACAGCACAAAUGUUUUGGUCCUGGUGUAUAAUAGAGUCCCGCGGGAUCUGUGACUCUGUUGAUAAUGCUCAGCAUGGCAUACCAGCGAAGCAGGUCUUCUUUCAUAUAAAUAAAAUAGAGUUAGAAUAAAGAUUACACACCAGCUGGAUGCCAGGCAGGGAUUUAAGGGCUUGGUAGUGGUGGUAGCUCAGUAGUUAAGGCUCUCAACUUGUAACUGGAUGGUCGUGAGUUCAAAUCUGAGCAAUUUUGGGUCCUUGAACAAGGCUGUUAAUGCUGAACUGCUUAGACCUUUAGAUAAAAGCAUCUUCCAAAUAAUAAAUGUAAGUGUCUAGAGACUCCACACCACCAAGCUUUGUCCAACUUGCUGGAAUUCACAACUGGCUAGCGUUCAGGCAUUAUAAAUAAUGUCCCAAAUACUAGACAGAUUAUUGUUACUUUCUAAUGUUUAUUGCAUCAUCUUGAUAGCUCAGAAACCAGCAGUCUCUUCCCAUAAUGCACAGCAAACCUACAUCACAUUUACCACAUGAGCUCUGAGCAGCCAGAUUGUUACAAAUGUACCAAUCAGAUGAUUGUGUAAUGCAAUAAAGCAUAAAGUUAAUUUCA
Molecule: long non-coding RNA, 1521 nt
Organism: Pangasianodon hypophthalmus (striped catfish)
Lineage: Eukaryota; Metazoa; Chordata; Actinopteri; Siluriformes; Pangasiidae
Exons: 2
Source: RefSeq, a predicted model, not a curated record